CUCAGCUCCAUUCCUAAAACACAUUAUUUUCUCACAAAACAUUUUAAAUAUAGCACAAGAAAUAUUCAUCAUAUUGCUUGUACCGACUGCAACCUGAAUGCAGACUCUCUUUGAGAAGCCUCAUUUUUUUUUGCGUAUUUUAUUUUGUUAUUCAAAUGAUGAUGCAUAUUUUGCAUCAAGUUACACCUUUUUAGAGGCAGAGUUUGUUCUGUAAAAUUGGUGCAGCAUUUCCAUUUCUCACAUCUUCGCAUAACUGGUUUCUUGUCAGCAGACGUAGCCUUGUCUGAGGGAUCGGCCCUGUCAUCUGUAUCCCGGCGGGUUGGGGCCUUGGUGGUUUCCAGAUCUCUCUUCAGGAGGGUGUGCUUUCCCCAGAAAGAAGGUUAAAAUGGGGUGGGUUUUCUCAAGAUCUUUAAUAUUUCCUUCACCAAAUUUUUACCCAAAAUACAGACCCUCGUCAUCUGAGAGUCAACUUUGUCCUUGACUUAACCUUCAGGUUUUAGCCUGUCUGGCUUCCUAACGAGGGUGAGUCCUCACGAGCCAGCACAGAGACAGUGACCGGGCCCCCCGAGGCUGCACGGACCCAGCUCACCUGUCUGCAGAGGCCCGGCCGAGAGGACGAGGCCCCAAAAUGGUCCUUUUUGUUCUCUUUGUUAAAUGGGGUUUGUGACAUCACAAGGCAGCAUUUUGCCCUCAUUCUCAAAUACCAAAGUCAGUGGAUGCAGGCUUCCAGAGAGGCCGCUGCAUAGGACCUCCUGCAGACACUGCCCGACUCAUUCCUAGCCCACCAAAUCCAGCCCUGACCCACUGGGACCCUCCACGAGCCUCUGAGUGGCAGGGCCUAGCAGGGCCGCCCAAGCUGUGUGUGUGCACGGUGCCUGAGGUGCACGUCAGGGCAGCCCUGCCUGUGGCCUUAGAACAGGUCCCUCCUGCCAUCAGACGGGGGCUCCGCGAUGCCAGCCAUGGUGGGGUGCUCACCGGCCUUGGUCAGUGGCUCCUCAGCUUCUUCUCUGAGGCCCCUAAGCUGACCCUCUGGAUGCUGCCUCAAAUUCCACUAUGUGUCGUAUUCAUUUUCUGUUGCUGCUGUAACAAACUCCCAGGUUCCUGGGAUCAGGAUGAGGACGUCUUUGGGCGGCCGUCCCUCUGCCUACCACAGUAUUGAUCAAAUUGUUUUGCCCCUUUGAAUGGUUAAACAUUAAAACCAAUCAUUUAUUGAAAACCUU
This 1220-nucleotide long non-coding RNA is filed under the name Equus caballus (horse). RNAcentral describes it as "lncRNA (ENSECAG00000031959.3)". Lineage: Eukaryota; Metazoa; Chordata; Mammalia; Perissodactyla; Equidae. The record is from RNAcentral.